Molecule: ribosomal RNA, 449 nt
Filed under: uncultured prokaryote
Description: bacterial SSU rRNA
Rfam family: Bacterial small subunit ribosomal RNA
Source: RNAcentral
UCGAGAAUCAUUCGCAAUGGGCGCAAGCCUGACGGUGCGACGCCGCGUGGAGGAUGAAGGUCCUAGGAUCGUAAACUCCUGUCAUGAGAGAGCAAAGCUUCCCAUUUAAAAGAUAGGAAGUCUGAUAGUAUCUCAAGAGGAAGGGACGGCUAACUCUGUGCCAGCAGCCGCGGUAAUACAGAGGUCCCAAGCGUUGUUCGGAUUCAUUGGGCGUAAAGGGUGCGUAGGUGGCGAAGUAAGUCAGGUGUGAAAUUUCGGGGCUCAACCCAGAAACUGCACUUGAUACUGCUUUGCUAGAGGAUUGGAGAGGAGAUUGGAAUUCACGGUGUAGCAGUGAAAUGCGUAGAUAUCGUGAGGAAGACCAGUGGCGAAGGCGGAUCUCUGGACAAAUCCUGACACUGAGGCACGAAGGCCAGGGUAGCGAACGGGAUUAGAUACCCCUGUAGUCC